RNAcentral lists this ribosomal RNA (1344 nucleotides) under uncultured bacterium. RNAcentral's name for it is "16S ribosomal RNA". It matches the Rfam family "Bacterial small subunit ribosomal RNA", at positions 28 to 1378 of the family's 1533-position model. The record is from RNAcentral.
GACGAACGCUGGCGGCGUGCUUAACACAUGCAAGUCGAACGGAAAGGCCCUGCUUUUGUGGGGUGCUCGAGUGGCGAACGGGUGAGUAACACGUGAGUAACCUGCCCUUGACUUUGGGAUAACUUCAGGAAACUGGGUCUAAUACCGGAUAGGAGCUCCUGCUGCAUGGUGGGGGUUGGAAAGUUUCGGCGGUUGGGGAUGGACUCGCGGCUUAUCAGCUUGUUGGUGGGGUAGUGGCUUACCAAGGCUUUGACGGGUAGCCGGCCUGAGAGGGUGACCGGCCACAUUGGGACUGAGAUACGGCCCAGACUCCUACGGGAGGCAGCAGUGGGGAAUAUUGCACAAUGGGCGGAAGCCUGAUGCAGCAACGCCGCGUGCGGGAUGACGGCCUUCGGGUUGUAAACCGCUUUCGCCUGUGACGAAGCGUGAGUGACGGUAAUGGGUAAAGAAGCACCGGCUAACUACGUGCCAGCAGCCGCGGUGAUACGUAGGGUGCGAGCGUUGUCCGGAUUUAUUGGGCGUAAAGGGCUCGUAGGUGGUUGAUCGCGUCGGAAGUGUAAUCUUGGGGCUUAACCCUGAGCGUGCUUUCGAUACGGGUUGACUUGAGGAAGGUAGGGGAGAAUGGAAUUCCUGGUGGAGCGGUGGAAUGCGCAGAUAUCAGGAGGAACACCAGUGGCGAAGGCGGUUCUCUGGGCCUUUCCUGACGCUGAGGAGCGAAAGCGUGGGGAGCGAACAGGCUUAGAUACCCUGGUAGUCCACGCUGUAAACGAGUGGGUACUAGGUGUGGGGUCCAUUCCACGGGUUCCGUGCCGUAGCUAACGCUUUAAGUACCCCGCCUGGGGAGUACGGCCGCAAGGCUAAAACUCAAAGGAAUUGACGGGGCCCCGCACAAGCGGCGGAGCAUGCGGAUUAAUUCGAUGCAACGCGUAGAACCUUACCUGGGUUUGACAUGGAUCGGGAGCGCUCAGAGAUGGGUGUGCCUCUUUUGGGGUCGGUUCACAGGUGGUGCAUGGCUGUCGUCAGCUCGUGUCGUGAGAUGUUGGGUUAAGUCCCGCAACGAGCGCAACCCUUGUUCACUGUUGCCAGCACGUUAUGGUGGGGACUCAGUGGAGACCGCCGGGGUCAACUCGGAGGAAGGUGGGGAUGACGUCAAGUCAUCAUGCCCCUUAUGUCCAGGGCUUCACGCAUGCUACAAUGGCUGGUACAGAGAGUGGCGAGCCUGUGAGGGUGAGCGAAUCUCGGAAAGCCGGUCUCAGUUCGGAUUGGGGUCUGCAACUCGACCUCAUGAAGUCGGAGUCGCUAGUAAUCGCAGAUCAGCAACGCUGCGGUGAAUACGUUCCCGGG